GUGGGGAAUAUUGGACAAUGGGGGGAACCCUGAUCCAACCAUGCCGCGUGUGUGAAGAAGGCCUUUUGGUUGUAAAGCACUUUAAGCGAGGAGGAGGCUACCGAGAUUAAUACUCUUGGAUAGUGGACGUUACUCGCAGAAUAAGCACCGGCUAACUCUGUGCCAGCAGCCGCGGUAAUACAGAGGGUGCAAGCGUUAAUCGGAUUUACUGGGCGUAAAGCGCGCGUAGGUGGCCAAUUAAGUCAAAUGUGAAAUCCCCGAGCUUAACUUGGGAAUUGCAUUCGAUACUGGUUGGCUAGAGUAUGGGAGAGGAUGGUAGAAUUCCAGGUGUAGCGGUGAAAUGCGUAGAGAUCUGGAGGAAUACCGAUGGCGAAGGCAGCCAUCUGGCCUAAUACUGACACUGAGGUGCGAAAGCAUGGGGAGCAAACAGGAUUAGAUGCCCUUGUAGUCC
This 451-nucleotide ribosomal RNA is filed under the name uncultured bacterium. RNAcentral describes it as "partial 16S ribosomal RNA". It matches the Rfam family "Bacterial small subunit ribosomal RNA", at positions 354 to 796 of the family's 1533-position model. The record is from RNAcentral.